GUCUACAGCCAUGCCACCCUGAACGUGCCUGAUCUUGUCUGAUCUCAGAAGCUAAGCAGGGUCGGGCUUGGUUAGUAUUGGAUGGGAGACCACCUAGGAAGACCAGGUGCUGUUCCCA
RNAcentral lists this ribosomal RNA (118 nucleotides) under Pteropus alecto (black flying fox). The record is from RNAcentral. Lineage: Eukaryota; Metazoa; Chordata; Mammalia; Chiroptera; Pteropodidae.